UAACAGCCUGCCCACCCUGGA
This 21-nucleotide small RNA is filed under the name Arabidopsis thaliana (thale cress). Its description in RNAcentral is "Ath_wt_12619". Lineage: Eukaryota; Viridiplantae; Streptophyta; Magnoliopsida; Brassicales; Brassicaceae. The record is from RNAcentral.